This 599-nucleotide ribosomal RNA is filed under the name uncultured bacterium. RNAcentral describes it as "bacterial SSU rRNA". It matches the Rfam family "Bacterial small subunit ribosomal RNA", at positions 725 to 1331 of the family's 1533-position model. The record is from RNAcentral.
CUAACUAUAAUAAACCUGACAGUGAUGGACGAAAGCUUGGGUAGCAAACGGGAUUAGAUACCCCGGGUAGUCCAAGCCGUAAACUAUGUUCGCUAGGUGUCUUUGCAAGUUUUGCAGGGGUGCCGCAACUUAACGGAUUAAGCGAACCGCCUGGGUAGUAUAUACGCAAGUAUGAAACUCAAAGGGAUAGGCGGGGGAACACACAAGCAGUGGAUGAUCUAGAUUAAUUGGAUACAAAGCCACAAAUCUUACCUAAACUUGACAUGCUCUUUGUCGUAUAUGAAAGUAUACUAGGCUAGCUUGCUAGUCAGGGAGCACAGGUGGUGCAGUGGCCGUCGUCAGCUCGUGCCGCAAGGUGUCUAGUUAAGUCUAGGAACGAGCGCAACCCUCAUCGUUAGUUAUUAUGUCUAACGAGACUGCCUUGGCAACAAGGAGGAAGGAGAUGGAUGACGUCAGGUCCUCAUGCCCCUUACGUUUAGGGCUUCAUAGGUCACUACAAUGGGUAGUACAACGAGAAGCAAUACCGCGAGGUGGAGCAAAUCUUUCAAAGCUAUCCCUAGUUCGGAUUGNGUCUGCAACUCGACUACAUGAAGUUGGAA